CCUACGGGAGGCAGCAGUGAGGAAUAUUGGUCAAUGGACGAGAGUCUGAACCAGCCACGUAGCGUGAAGGAUGAAUGCCCUCUGGGUUGUAAACUUUUUUUAUAUGGGAAUAAAAUGUUCCACGUGUGGGAUUUUGUAUGUACCAUAUGAAUAAGGAUCGGCUAACUCCGUGCCAGCAGCCGCGGUAAUACGGAGGGUCCGAGCGUUAUCCGGAUUUAUUGGGUGUAAAGGGAGCGUAGGUGGAUUGUUAAGUCAGUUGUGAAAGUUUGCGGCUCAACCGUAACAUUGCAGUUGAAACUGGGAGUCUUGAGUACAGUAGAGGUGGGCGGAAUUCGUGGUGUAGCGGUGAAAUGCUUAGAUAUCACGAAGAACUCCGAUUGCGAAGGCAGCUCACUGGACUGCAACUGACACUGAGGCUCGAAAGUGUGGGUAUCAAACAGGAUUAGAUACCCCGGUAGUC
Molecule: ribosomal RNA, 460 nt
Filed under: uncultured bacterium
Lineage: Bacteria
Description: partial 16S ribosomal RNA
Rfam family: Bacterial small subunit ribosomal RNA
Source: RNAcentral